Molecule: ribosomal RNA, 336 nt
Filed under: Triticum aestivum (bread wheat)
Lineage: Eukaryota; Viridiplantae; Streptophyta; Magnoliopsida; Poales; Poaceae
Description: partial small subunit ribosomal RNA
Source: RNAcentral
AUGGUGCAGAGUCCCUUACCUUUUUGCACCCAAGAAAUGGCGCGGCGGCGGGCGGCGGAAGCAGCAGUAUCUGAUGGCUGCAUGCCACUGGGCGGCCCUCCCUUCAUGCCUUGCAUCCAGCCGAGGCUCCGCCGGGUGCGUGCGAGAGGCGGCGGAAUGGUGUGGCCAUGGACAAGAUCGCCGGCCACAAGGACGAGCAGAAGCAGAGCCAUGAGCGCUGUUUUGGGUGCCAUUCUUCUUGCCGUCUAUGCUCCUCUUUUGCUAGCUGCUGGAUCUGCCCCAAACACCAGUAGUCUGCACCUGCACUGCACAUGGCCGGGGAGUGCAGAUAUAUAG